Prinia subflava (tawny-flanked prinia) is the source of this 1164-nucleotide long non-coding RNA. RefSeq lists it as uncharacterized. The record is from RefSeq and is a predicted model, not a curated record. The transcript is spliced from 3 exons. NCBI's taxonomy places the organism in Eukaryota, Metazoa, Chordata, Aves, Passeriformes, Cisticolidae.
UGAAGAGCUUCAGACUCCAGGCAACACUCCAGAGCUUCUGGGCCUCAGAUUGAACUGUGAGCUCAUGCUUCCUUGCCAACAGGAAGAUAAUAAAGGCCUAUAAUUUGUCAGUAGGAACGAUACUGGUCAAAGGAAAGAUAACAAAUGAGAAACUCCUGCUUGAAGGAAACUGUGGCAAUGAUAACAGUCUGCUGCUAGAGGACAUUUCUGGUCUUUUCAACAAAAGCCAUGUCAGUUUUGCUACAUAUGCAGGUUUUCAGGUGAGGGCUGAGGCGGCUGGACUGAGGUGAAGUGGCCUGGCCUGUUGUUCCCAGGGCCCUUCUUCUUCUCCUUGAAGACAGGAGUGACAUCUGCCUUUCCCCAGUGCUUAAGAACAUCCCCACAUCACAACAUGUCAAAGACAAUAAAAAGUGGCCCCAGACUGCCAUCAGCCAGUUCCCACUGCACUUGUAGGUGCACUCCAUCAGGUUCCAUGGACCUCUGUGUGUCUGCUUCGAGAGGGAGAGCUUCAGCUUCAAAGCAGCUCCCACAGGGAGAUUUUCCAGACCUUUCUUCAAAAUGGAUCAAAUCACUUUGCCUUGGAAGUGGCCAGCUAAACUCCUGGGAGUGUACUCAAAGUCCUGGCAGUGAAUUUGUGAGGCUGGCUGUUGGGAUAAGAUGCCUGAUUCACAGGAAUAAAGGGGAAGUGGAAUUCAAGGGAGGCAUAACCAUAAUGAAACUCUUGUUUAUUGUGCUUGUGUCAGUGGGGAGAAGGGAGGAGCUGUGCACAAUUUGCAGGUUUUAAUGAAAUUCUACUCUUCUAAGGCUAGCAUGAGUCAUUUUUUGUUUGUGUCAUCUGAGCAUCCUUUUUGGGUGUGAAGUUUGACCACACUGCCUCCUGAGUGGAUUUACUCCUCAGUCUCUUCAGGAACUGACAGACUCAGAGCAGAAAUAGCUUAAUUUGAGCUCAUGUGCUCACAGAGCUUGUUUAGACUGAGAGGUGUGUCCACCGUGGAAAUUAUUUACACAUAAAACCACACAGAUUUUCAUUUUUUUCUUUUGCUAUUACUACAGUAAUAUUGCUAAUGUUCAUUUCUUCCUAAAAAUGAAAGCUUCAUUUGAGGAUGUUUCUCACAUACACACUGAUCUAAUGAUUUCUGGGAUCAUUGAUUCGUAGCAUUCAUU